GAGUUUGUCUUUUAGUGUGUGGGAGAGUGGGGUGCUUCGGGCCGGGUGUCGGGGCGUGUGCUUGGGAUCGCGAUAGGGAACGUCGGUGGAGGGUGGCGACGAGGUCUAGCUCUAGGCGGAGGGAGAGGCGAGCGCGGCCACACGUGGGAGGGAGGGUAGGGAGAGGGGAUGGAAACGGCGGGUAGAAGCGGCGGCGCGUAGGUGUCCUCGUUGUGCUCACCGCGCGGUACCCCGUUGUGGCGGCUGAAGAAGAGUAGUGGAGCGGCGCACGACAAGGACGCCCAACCGCGACGCCCCCGGCCCACGCGGGAGGAGCGCGGUCGCCUCCUACUGCUCCCGCUCCUGCACCUCCGGCCGCUCCCCCCUCCGCCGCCUCCCAACGCGGACCACCGGUAGGCCACCCGGGCGCAGUGGACGCGGGAGUUCUUGUUUGCGCCCCUGUACCACUCGGCGAGACCAUGCUCGUGUGAGCACACACUAGGGCCCGCGGCGUCCCGGUCGCUGUUCACGCACUUCCUCUUCGCGUUCUGGUAGUUGCCUCUGCUGGACUAGACCAGGUACCCGUGCGAGCCGAAGCUCCUGAUGCAGCUCGGGGAGUUCGACGUGGAGUUCGAGAUAGUCGUCCGGAAGCUCAAGUUCUCCGAAGACGAAAUGAUAUUGUUGCGACAAAACAAAUCCGAUCAGUACCUCGUCUUUCUUGCCUGUAACGAUGAAGUUGUUCUCCCUUCUACGGAAACAAGUCGGACAUGCCUGUAUAGGUCUUUACACAGAACGGUUGGAAGUUCAGUGAGGUUGAAACUUUCUGGUUUAAGCACU
Molecule: ribosomal RNA, 816 nt
Filed under: Triticum aestivum (bread wheat)
Lineage: Eukaryota; Viridiplantae; Streptophyta; Magnoliopsida; Poales; Poaceae
Description: partial small subunit ribosomal RNA
Source: RNAcentral